Cyprinus carpio (common carp) is the source of this 619-nucleotide long non-coding RNA. NCBI's taxonomy places the organism in Eukaryota, Metazoa, Chordata, Actinopteri, Cypriniformes, Cyprinidae. The record is from Ensembl.
AAGAGCAGGGAGGAGCUCUCUGUACACUGACCUGUCAUUUCACUUCACUUCCUGCCGUACUGGAGAGAAAACAAUGGUUCAUCAUCAGUGCUCUUUACUAGAACAGAAAGCUCGUCCUGCAGGAGUCUUUAAUUCUCAGUCAGCAGUGAUUUAUUUCACGCAGGGCGUGUGUGCGCGUAGGAACCACUUGUUGAUGGUUUCUGUUUCCGGUCGGACUGUAUCGUGGCGGGACCGGAAACAUGGCGUUCAACUUCGGCGGCGCGUCUAGCAGCGCGAGUCUUUCUGGCACAGGCUUCGGAGCCGCGACCACAACAUCUGCACCCACGGGCUUCGGCUUCGGAUCGGGCGGCACGGGUGCGAGUCUCUUUGGAAACACUCAGAGUAAGGGCUUUGGUUUCUCGUCUGGUCUGGGCUCGAGUGGAGGUCUGGGCGGCGCUGGACUGGGCUUCGGAGGAUUCGGUGGGAUCCAGCCUGCUCAGAACCAACUGGGUGAGUCUGAGAGCGGCUGCUCUCUCUUCAUACACACACUGAUUUCUUCCUCUUGGUUCGAUACAGGAUAUCUAUACUGAUAUUAUGAAUUAUGAGAAUAAUGGGAAUAAAUUAAUUUUCAUUCGGGCCA